UUUCAUUUCACAUUUCACUUCAAAAGUGGCUCAGUUCAGUGUACAAAUCCAACCGUUCACCCCCAUGCCGGUAGGGGGAAGACAGUGCCUCUGCUUUCAGGUGACCGACUGAAGUCCUGUCCUGACUUCCGUUUUGUGCUAUUUGUACAUACACCAAAGUCCUUCUGGAUACACAGAACUUGGCCUGGGAACCCGUCUUCUUUCAGUGGCUUUCAGGAGCAGAUAAAGGAAACAGUAGACCAGAAGCCAAAUAAUGUGAUAUUGUCUUCUGCAGCAGAACUCAUCACACAGAGGGAGGUGGCUCAGCCAUGGAGACGGAAAUGAGAGCCAUGAGGACAUCCAUUACCCGCAUGGCACAGCGGAUGGACGCAUUUGAGGAGAAGAUGGAUGAGCUGCUCAUGCUCUUAAGGACACCUUAAAGUCACCUCCCUCUGCUCCAGUCGAUGACAUGUUGCUGUCACCCUGCUCGACAGUCACCGAGCUGCAGGAGUUCAACAGGAGUCCCGGUCAACAGGAGAGGAGGAACAAAAUGCGGCCUCUCAGAAAAACGUCCCCACGCUGACUGCAGCAGACACGGAGGACUUGAUUGGGCAAGUGCUUAAGUUUGCCCCACACAGACAGCCAGCUGAGAAGGACUGAGCCUUUAAAACCAUGGAGCUCUAUGUUUUUGCAGAAGCAUGGCCUACUACAAGAGCUGUUGGCCAUCUUCUACACUGCUGCCAUCCUCCUGCCUCCUCCCCUCUGGCAGGCGCUACAGAUCCCUGCACACAAAAACAACCAGACACAAGAACAGCUUCUUUCCACUGCCAUCACUCUCCUGAACUGCUGAUAAGUGGGGUCAUCCCCACCUUGGCCAUUCACCUACACAUUACAUACUUUAUCAUUCCAAUAUGCAUCUUGCACACUACAUUUGCACUAUGAUGUGUCUAUAUGGCCAA
Long non-coding RNA from Sander lucioperca (pikeperch), 938 nucleotides. RefSeq lists it as uncharacterized. The transcript is spliced from 6 exons. Lineage: Eukaryota; Metazoa; Chordata; Actinopteri; Perciformes; Percidae. The record is from RefSeq and is a predicted model, not a curated record.